CACAGUAAACGAUGGAUGCCCGCUGUUGGCGAUACAUUGUCAGCGGCCAAGCGAAAGCGUUAAGCAUCCCACCUGGGGAGUACGCCGGCAACGGUGAAACUCAAAGGAAUUGACGGGGGCCCGCACAAGCGGAGGAACAUGUGGUUUAAUUCGAUGAUACGCGAGGAACCUUACCCGGGCUUGAACUGCAGCAGAACGAUUCAGAGAUGAUGAGGCCCUUCGGGGCUGCUGUGGAGGUGCUGCAUGGUUGUCGUCAGCUCGUGCCGUGAGGUGUCGGCUUAAGUGCCAUAACGAGCGCAACCCUUUUCCUUAGUUGCCAUCAGGUCGAGCUGGGCACUCUGGGGACACUGCCACCGUAAGGUGUGAGGAAGGUGGGGAUGACGUCAAAUCAGCACGGCCCUUACGUCCGGGGCUACACACGUGUUACAAUGGGGAGUACAGAGCGUCAGGCGCCGGCAACGUCGCCUCAAUCAAGAAAGCUCUCCUCAGUUCGGAUUGGGGUCUGCAACCCGACC
RNAcentral lists this ribosomal RNA (515 nucleotides) under uncultured bacterium. Its description in RNAcentral is "bacterial SSU rRNA". It matches the Rfam family "Bacterial small subunit ribosomal RNA", at positions 798 to 1317 of the family's 1533-position model. The record is from RNAcentral.